Molecule: ribosomal RNA, 253 nt
Filed under: uncultured bacterium
Lineage: Bacteria
Description: partial 16S ribosomal RNA
Rfam family: Bacterial small subunit ribosomal RNA
Source: RNAcentral
UACGUAGGGGGCAAGCGUUGUCCGGAUUUAUUGGGCGUAAAGAGCGUGUAGGCGGCCAUACAAGUCAGCUGUGAAAACUCGAGGCUCAACCUCGAGACGUCGGUUGAAACCGUAGGGCUAGAGUCCGGAAGAGGAGAGUGGAAUUCCCGGUGUAGCGGUGAAAUGCGCAGAUAUCGGGAGGAGCACCCGUGGCGAAGGCGGCUCUCUGGGACGGUACUGACGCUGAGACGCGAAAGCGUGGGGAGCGAACAGG